UGAGGAAUAUUGCGCAAUGGGGGAAACCCUGACGCAGCCAUGCCGCGUGAAUGACGAAGGCCCUAGGGUUGUAAAGUUCUUUCAGAUGCGAAGAUAAUGACGGUAACAUCAGAAGAAGCUCCGGCUAAAUUCGUGCCAGCAGCCGCGGUAAUACGAAUGGAGCGAGCGUUGUUCGGAAUCAUUGGGCGUAAAGCGUAUGUAGGCGGACAUGAAAGUCAGAAGUGAAAUCCCGAGGCUCAACCUCGGAAUUGCUUUUGAAACUCCAUGUCUUGAAUCCCGGAGGGGUAGACGGAAUUCCGAGUGUAGAGGUGAAAUUCGCAGAUAUUCGGAGGAACACCAGAGGCGUAGGCGGUCUACUGGACGGGUAUUGACGCUGAGAUACGAAAGCGUGGGGAGCAAACAGG
RNAcentral lists this ribosomal RNA (404 nucleotides) under uncultured bacterium. RNAcentral describes it as "bacterial SSU rRNA". It matches the Rfam family "Bacterial small subunit ribosomal RNA", at positions 355 to 776 of the family's 1533-position model. The record is from RNAcentral.